Molecule: transfer RNA, 76 nt
Filed under: Desulfobacterales bacterium
Lineage: Bacteria; Pseudomonadati; Thermodesulfobacteriota; Desulfobacteria; Desulfobacterales
Description: tRNA-Gly
Rfam family: tRNA
About the family: Transfer RNA (tRNA) molecules are approximately 80 nucleotides in length.
Source: RNAcentral
GCGGGCAUAGCUCAGGUGGUAGAGCACAAGCUUACCAAGCUUGGGGACGCGGGGUCGAGGCCCGUUGCCCGCUCCA